This 28-nucleotide non-coding RNA is filed under the name Bombyx mori (domestic silkworm). Lineage: Eukaryota; Metazoa; Arthropoda; Insecta; Lepidoptera; Bombycidae. The record is from RNAcentral.
ACAGAAAAAACAAGAAACUCACGUUCAU